GUGACAGGUGGUGCAUGGUUGUCGUCAGCUCGUGUCGUGAGAUGUUGGGUUAAGUCCCGCAACGAGCGCAACCCUUGAUCUUAGUUGCCAGCAUUUAGUUGGGCACUCUAAGGUGACUGCCGGUGACAAACCGGAGGAAGGUGGGGAUGACGUCAAAUCAUCAUGCCCCUUAUGACCUGGGCUACACACGUGCUACAAUGGAUGGUACAAAGGGCUGCAAGACCGCGAGGUCAAGCCAAUCCCAUAAAACCAUUCUCAGUUCGGAUUGUAGGCUGCAACUCGCCUACAUGAAGCUGGAAUCGCUAGUAAUCGCGGAUCAGCAUGCCGCGGUGAAUACGUUCCCGGGCCUUGUACACACCGCCCGUCACACCACGAGAGUUUGUAACACCCGAAGUCGGUGGAGUAACCGUAAGGAGCUAGCCGCCUAAGGUGGGACAGAUGAUUGGGGUG
RNAcentral lists this ribosomal RNA (450 nucleotides) under Priestia megaterium. Its description in RNAcentral is "bacterial SSU rRNA". It matches the Rfam family "Bacterial small subunit ribosomal RNA", at positions 1031 to 1482 of the family's 1533-position model. The record is from RNAcentral. Lineage: Bacteria; Bacillati; Bacillota; Bacilli; Caryophanales; Bacillaceae.